UGGACAAAGAUACACAAAACAAAUUGUGAAAAUAAUGUAGAGCUACUUUUAUUAGAAACAUGAAACCUAUUUGAUGGAUACAUGAAAAAAUAGCUAAGUUUGCUUUGAACAUUAUAUGAUGGGUUGAAACACUCCAAAUGAAUGUAUUUGAAUUAAAAUGACAUAUACAUAUACAUAUACAUAUACGAAUCAGUUAGUUACUUGAUGUAUUUCUUUAAAAUAAUAGGCUUCUUAAUUUGACAUUGUUUACUACACCAAAUCAACAUUGGUAGAAUGAUUUACUUAUUUUAUACUCUUUGUUUUUUUUAAAUUUAAGAUAUGAUUUAAACACUAAAACAAUAGAAAUAUGGAGUUUUUUCAUGAAUAUUUUUAUUGACUUAAUUUGUAAUAUAUUGAUAUUUGAGAUUUUUUAAAUCUAAAACUCUAGAAUAUAAUGUAUUGAUAUCAUAAUAUGUUAUUUUUAAAAAAAGACAUGAAAAAAAGAAAUAAAGAAAAUGACAGUUUUUAUAGACAAAUAUUUGUUAAAGUUAUGAAAAACAAAACAAAUUUAGAAAAUAACGCAGAGUUACUUUUAAUAGAAACAUGAAACCUAUUUGAUGGAUACAUGAAAAAAUGGCUAAGUUUGCUUGGAACAUUAUAGGAUGGGUUGAAACACUCCAAAUGCAUGUAUUUGAAUUAGAAUGCCAUAUACAUAUUACUUAGCUAUUUAAUGUAUUUGUUUAAAUUAAUAAGCUUCUUAAUUUUACAUUGUUUACCUCACCAAAUCAACAUUGGUAGAAUGAUUUACUUAUUUUAUACUUUUUUUUGAAAAUUUAAAAUGUGUUUUAAACACUAAAACAAGACAAAUAUGCAGUUUUUUUUAUGAUGAAUUUUAUUGACUUAAAUGGUAAUGCCAUAUUUGAGUUUUUUUAAAUCUAAAAUUUUAAAAUAUAAUGUAUUGAUAUCAUAAUAUGUUGUUUUAGAAAAACGACCAUGAAAAAAAGAAAUAAAGAAAAUGACAGUUUAUAUAGACAAAGAUGUGUUAAGUUAUGAGAAAUAUAACAAAUUGUGAAAAUGACAUAGAGCUACAUAUAUUAGAAAGAUGAAACCUAUUAGAUGGAUACAUGAAAAAAUAGCUAAAUUUGCUUUGAACAUUAUAGGAUGGGUUGAAACACUCCAAAUGCAGGUCUUUGAAUUAAAAUGAGAUAUACAUAUACAUGUUAAUUAUUUACUUAAUGUAUUUCUUUAACAUAUUAGCCUUCUUAAUGUGACAAUGUUUACUAAACCAAAUCAAUAUUGGUAGAAUGAUUUUUUUACUUAUUUUAUAAAAAAAAAUUAAUUUUAAAAUAUGUUUUAAACACUAAACAAAGAGAAUAUGCAGUUUUUUUAUGAUUAAUUUUAUUGACUUGAGUUGUAAUGUAUUGAUAUAUGAGAUUUUUUAAAAUCUAAAACUCUAAAAUAUAAUGUAUUGAUAUCAUAAUAUUUAAUUUUUAAAAAAUGACCAUGAAAAAAAGAAUUAAAGAAAAUGACGGUUUAUAUGGACAAAGAUACACAAAACAAAUUGUGAAAAUAAUGUAGAGCUACUUUUAUUAGAAACAUGAAACCUAUUUGAUGGAUACAUGAAAAAAUAGCUAAGUUUGCUUUGAACAUUAUAUGAUGGGUUGAAACACUCCAAAUGAAUGUAUUUGAAUUAAAAUGACAUAUACAUAUACAUAUACAUAUACGAAUCAGUUAGUUACUUGAUGUAUUUCUUUAAAAUAAUAGGCUUCUUAAUUUGACAUUGUUUACUACACCAAAUCAACAUUGGUAGAAUGAUUUACUUAUUUUAUACUCUUUGUUUUUUUUAAAUUUAAGAUAUGAUUUAAACACUAAAACAAUAGAAAUAUGGAGUUUUUUCAUGAAUAUUUUUAUUGACUUAAUUUGUAAUAUAUUGAUAUUUGAGAUUUUUUAAAUCUAAAACUCUAGAAUAUAAUGUAUUGAUAUCAUAAUAUGUUAUUUUUAAAAAAAGACAUGAAAAAAAGAAAUAAAGAAAAUGACAGUUUUUAUAGACAAAUAUUUGUUAAAGUUAUGAAAAACAAAACAAAUUUAGAAAAUAACGCAGAGUUACUUUUAAUAGAAACAUGAAACCUAUUUGAUGGAUACAUGAAAAAAUGGCUAAGUUUGCUUGGAACAUUAUAGGAUGGGUUGAAACACUCCAAAUGCAUGUAUUUGAAUUAGAAUGCCAUAUACAUAUUACUUAGCUAUUUAAUGUAUUUGUUUAAAUUAAUAAGCUUCUUAAUUUUACAUUGUUUACCUCACCAAAUCAACAUUGGUAGAAUGAUUUACUUAUUUUAUACUUUUUUUUGAAAAUUUAAAAUGUGUUUUAAACACUAAAACAAGACAAAUAUGCAGUUUUUUUUAUGAUGAAUUUUAUUGACUUAAAUGGUAAUGCCAUAUUUGAGUUUUUUUAAAUCUAAAAUUUUAAAAUAUAAUGUAUUGAUAUCAUAAUAUGUUGUUUUCAAAAAAAUGACCAUGAAAAAAAGAAAAAAAGAAAAUGACAGUUUAUAUAGACAAAGAUGUGUUAAAUUAUGAGAAAUAUAACAAAUUGUGAAAAUGACAUAGAGCUACAUAUAUUUGAAAGAUGAAACCUAUUAGAUGGAUACAUGAAAAAAUAGCUAAAUUUGCUUUAAACAUUAUAGGAUGGGUUGAAACACUCCAAAUGCAGGUCUUUGAAUUAAAAUGAGAUAUACAUCUACAUGUUAAUUAUUUACUUAAUGUAUUUCUUUAACAUAUUAGCCUUCUUAAUGUGACAAUGUUUACU
Molecule: long non-coding RNA, 2779 nt
Filed under: Lathyrus oleraceus (garden pea)
Lineage: Eukaryota; Viridiplantae; Streptophyta; Magnoliopsida; Fabales; Fabaceae
Description: Pisum sativum (pea) long non-coding RNA (PSAT_LNC030441)
Source: RNAcentral